GCUUACGGCCACACCGCCUGGUUCACGCACGAUCUCGUUUGAUCUCGGAAGAUAAGCUAGGGUUGGGCCUGGUUAGUACUUGGAUGGGAGACCGCCUGGGAAUACCAGGUGCUGUAAGCU
This 120-nucleotide ribosomal RNA is filed under the name Scophthalmus maximus (turbot). Lineage: Eukaryota; Metazoa; Chordata; Actinopteri; Pleuronectiformes; Scophthalmidae. The record is from RNAcentral.